CACAUAUAUAUAGCAAGUAACUCUGUUUCACCCGGAAAACAGAAGACUAUGGAUCAUGAGUACACAUAUAUAAAGCUUUUCAAACCUUUGGCUCGUAGGAAAACAGAAGACUAUGGAUCCGGGUGAAAAGCUCGCGCAGGCGGUGUUGAGUGCCCACUCAGUUAUUACGUCGAUCAGUUUAUGCGCAUCAAGUUACUAUCUAGUCGAAUGAGAGGUUAUCAGAGGCACUAUUCAGUCACUUUUUUGGCCUCCAUGGAUCAACUAACAGAGGCGGAGCUAUGAAAGGACUAGGAUGGUCUAAGUCCAUCUUAACAUUACUUUCACGCAUAAAAAUUUGAUUUGAGGUUGGUGGCUCCUAUGGAGUUUAGGGAAUUUGUUACUUGUGAGUUUUGAGCAGGACUUUGGUUUGGGGAUCAGUGAAGGGAGAGAGGAAGAAAGUCAAAGAGGCUUAGAGUUUAGGCUUAAGGAAGAUGAUGAUUAAGAUGACACCAAACUAUACUUAAAUGACGUUGGUCAGUUGCUCAUUAUAUGACAGAGUAAUUUUUGUAAGAUUCGAGGAGGGUUUGGAAUUGAGACAUUUGGACCCCUCAUAGGCUCAAAUUAUGGCUUUGCCACUAAACUAACCACUUUGAACUUUGAGGGAUUCGCCAUUGGCUUGAGUACUAUCACCCAAGAAUACGAAGCCAAAAAUCAUCAUACUAUUUAGGGUUUGUUUGAGAUUGUCUAUGUUUGAAGCAUUUCUACUCAUAAGCACUUAUGUUAGAAGUGCUUUAAUUAGAAACACAUUGAAAUUUCUAUUGAGGGUCUAAGUGAAAUAAAGUUCUACUUAAUGAAGUGUAUAACAUGUAAUUCUCUUGAACGUGAUUAUAUGAUUCAAAAACACUUUU
Long non-coding RNA from Pyrus x bretschneideri (Chinese white pear), 887 nucleotides. RefSeq lists it as uncharacterized. The record is from RefSeq and is a predicted model, not a curated record. NCBI's taxonomy places the organism in Eukaryota, Viridiplantae, Streptophyta, Magnoliopsida, Rosales, Rosaceae. The transcript is spliced from 2 exons.